RNAcentral lists this ribosomal RNA (497 nucleotides) under uncultured bacterium. RNAcentral's name for it is "partial 16S ribosomal RNA". It matches the Rfam family "Bacterial small subunit ribosomal RNA", at positions 28 to 507 of the family's 1533-position model. The record is from RNAcentral.
GAUGAACGCUGGCGGCGUGCCUAAUACAUGCAAGUCGAGCGAACGGACGAGAAGCUUGCUUCUCUGAUGUUAGCGGCGGACGGGUGAGUAACACGUGGAUAACCUACCUAUAAGACUGGGAUAACUUCGGGAAACCGGAGCUAAUACCGGAUGAUAUUUUGAACCGCAUGGUUCAAAAGUGAAAGACGGUCUUGCUGUCACUUAUAGAUGGAUCCGCGCUGCAUUAGCUAGUUGGUAAGGUAACGGCUUACCAAGGCAACGAUGCAUAGCCGACCUGAGAGGGUGAUCGGCCACCCUGGAACUGAGACAGCGUCCAGACUCCUACGGGAGGCAGCAGUAGGGAAUCUUCCGCAAUGGGCGAAAGCCUGACGGAGCAACGCCGCGUGAGUGAUGAAGGUCUUCGGAUCGUAAAACUCUGUUAUUAGGGAAGAACAUAUGUGUAAGUAACUGUGCACAUCUUGACGGUACCUAAUCAGAAAGCCACGGCUAACUACGUG